GACAUUGUCCAUUUCCACUGUUCUCUUCUGCAGCAUCAUCAGGAUUCUCACCUACCACAGUGACAGCUGCUCUUCCUCCCCUGAAGCCACCACCUCCAACAACCCAUCAUGUUCAUUUCUCUCCCCGAGCUACAUCAAAUUACCGUUUCAUGAAUCCAAAUCAGUAACACUCCAACGAGGUGCCAAAAUGUUACACACAUGAACCAUCUUUAGGGCAGGGCAGGUCCCGGGGGGGGGGGGGGGGGGGCGGUAGCCAGUCGCAAAGAAGUAAUACUUGGUGAACCAUCGUGUGGUCUACCCCUGUAUCAUUUUAUCGUGUUCUUCAGGUUCUUUCCUCUUCACCGCGGAGCUAGAACAGUCGAACUUUAUUCUGGGCUUUCGGUCAUCCCUUCGUCUACAUGUACUGUUCAUGAUCCGCACUAGUAAGUUCUUCUGAAACCGUGAAAUGUGGUUCAAAAUCAUUUUGACUGUCUUGUUUCUUUGGUGAGUAUACAUUUAAGUGCAACAACGGAUCCUUCAUGUGGAUAUAUAGUACAUCUCCGGAUCUGUUGCUAAUCUCCUUAGUGUUGAUAGCCCAAUCACCCGGUCUCUCAUUUGCUUCCGUGCGUGACUCUUGAGAAUGAUGCGAUAAGGAGAAGACGGGUAGUGGUUGACUUGCUGUCUCAAUGAAGGUAGGCUUGGCGACGCAUGAAUCACGUGUACGCUCCUCCACCAAGUCUUCUUAUUUGCCCAUCAAAUGCUACGACUUUUGACUUCAAAUUUUCGAGCCUGGAAUGAUUCAGGUCGCGAGUCCCAAGUUUUCUGAUAAUAUCUCCUAUCCAUAAAACAGAGUGCAAACGUCUAACGAGUCUAAAUUAAGAUCAUAUCUUAUUAUUGUCAGAGUGAAAGAAGGACCACCUCAGUCUGACCAGACCACGCUUAUAAAAAAAGAAUAUUUUUUUUGAAUAAUAUUAAACAAUAUUGUAGUUAUUAUCGUUAAUUAUUUCAGAUUGACCACUUCUCAGAUCAGCGUAUACAAAAACAAUUUCCAUAGACCGUCUCGUGGCAAGAGCCGAUCUUGUUGGUCUCUUACCACUCUUCAUCUAUAGUUAGGCAGUCUUGGGGGCGAAGGCCGAAACUGUGGGCGAUAGGCUUUUGCGUAUACAAUAUGUCGCCAGGUUUCCUUCUCUGUAACCUCAGCUGCAGCUGCAGCUGCAGAGGAUAGAUUGCAUGAUCUUCUUUCAAGGAAUCAGAAGGUUGCCGUCGCAUUCACACAUGAAUUCGCUUCUGUCACCUUCUUAGCCAUCGUCUUCUUCAUAACCCUCAUUUUCCUCCUCCUUUCCCAGUUGGAAGCAAGCAAAGAGUGAGUAUAUAUUCUCAGAAACCAGAAUGAUGGACAGCGGAGGAAGAGCAAAAGACACAGUAGCAUAGCAGCUGAGCUGACUCUAUUCCAGUGACAGAGACCUAAUUUACAGAGCUCCACUCAUCUAACGCAAACACUCAUCUUGGUUUGUUCCUAUAUUACAGAGCAGGAGGAAGCAGCUACGGGAAUCGAAGGAGUUCCAAUCAGAUGGAAGGAACAGAUGCCAAGCAACCAUACAAGUAUUAGCCAGAUGCACGAGGACGCGUCGAUGUCGCAGCUCCGCCUUCCCGUUCACCGCUCCCAGAUAUGCUCCCCUUCCAGGUGGAGUAGAUGGCGGAGGUCAUGGAAGACCAUGAAUCCUUCAGUUCCGUAGCGAUCUGCUUCUUGAUGCUGCCCCUUGGUGGUGGGCACAAGUUCCCUCUUCCCCUCCUCUCCUGCUUGCCGGCGUCUUGGUGGCUCUUCAUCUCUUCCGUAACAGAGAGAGAGAGAGAGAGAGAGAGAGAGAGUGCGCGUUGUCGCUGGAGCGAUAGGCAACCGGAUAUAUAGAGGUGUGUCAGAAGAGUAGCCGACAUACGUCAUUGAAACGUGUGUUAGUAUUAGGAAAAAUAUUGUUAAAAAAAUAAAUUAUGAUAAAAUUAUGAUUUUUAAAUUAUAAAAAUUAUGAUAUUAUCAUAAAUCUAUCAAUAAUAAAGAUAAUGAUCUCAACAUGAUUUGAUGAAAUAAUUUAGAUAAAUAUUUUAUAUUAUAAAAAUAUAUAAUUAUCAUAAUAUCUUUUUGUGGAUAUAAAUUCAUACCUAAUAUUCAUAAA
Molecule: long non-coding RNA, 2150 nt
Filed under: Musa acuminata (dwarf banana)
Lineage: Eukaryota; Viridiplantae; Streptophyta; Magnoliopsida; Zingiberales; Musaceae
Description: long non-coding RNA (MACU_LNC003620)
Source: RNAcentral